This 269-nucleotide unclassified non-coding RNA is filed under the name fungal sp. RNAcentral's name for it is "partial internal transcribed spacer region". The record is from RNAcentral. Lineage: Eukaryota; Fungi.
AAGUCGUGACGGUGAACGUUAAACCCCCCUGUGAAUUUUAUCGCAGCUCUUGCAGAUGCCGGUAAGUUUGCAAUCCCUGGUAAAUCAUUGUUGAACAGAUUUUGAUUCAGGGGGUUGUGUAAGGAAAACGCUUUACGAUCACUGGAGGCCGACACGGCCGGUGACCGGGCUUAUGCCCCCUAUAUUUACCCCACUACCUGAACUUGGGUCGCAGGAAACUGCUUCCCCUUAAAUCUGAACAACUGUUAACAAUGGAUAUCUUGGUUCUC